UGCAGUUGGAGGGGAUGAUAAUGAUGUGGUCUCAGGCUUUCUAUAUGAUAAGCUUCAGAAAGAGGUCAUCAGCUUGAGAAAGUCUUGUGAAGCUAAAGACAGUAAUUUGCAGGCCAAAGAUGAAGAAAUUAAGAUGCUCAUGAAGAAGGUUGAGGCACUGAGCAAGGCCAUGGAAUUAGAGUGGAAGAAAAUAAAAAGAGAAGCAGCUGCAAGGGAGAAAGAAGCUGCAAUAUCAAAGGCUGAUGAUAACAAGAAACGAAGAAGCUUGAGUUCAUCCAAAAGCAAAGCGACAAAAGACAGAUGAAUAUUCUGGAUUUGAUUUGGAUUUCUUAAGGAGAUUGAUCUAUCAGCGAUGUUUUCGGAAUUUUAUAUAUACACAUACAGUAUCAAAAUUCAGUGAGGCUAUUUCUUGAAAUAAAGUUCCAUCGAGAUUGGUAAAGGGUAGUUUGGGGAUGUGGCUAUGUACAUACAUAUAAGCGUUGUGUGUUUCUCUCUACAUUCAGAAUAAUCCUUUAGUGCUUGAUAUUUGUGCUGAUGACAACAAUGUAUCUGUAUCUGUAAACAUACUGUAACAUGACUUAGAGCCAUUUGUUUUAAUUAAGAAUUAAUGAUUUCUCAAUCUGUAA
Prosopis cineraria is the source of this 626-nucleotide long non-coding RNA. RefSeq lists it as uncharacterized. The transcript has 3 exons. NCBI's taxonomy places the organism in Eukaryota, Viridiplantae, Streptophyta, Magnoliopsida, Fabales, Fabaceae. The record is from RefSeq and is a predicted model, not a curated record.